GCAAAAGUUUGCUCAUAGCCAUCAGGUUGAAAAAUUGGAUCCCAUCCAAAAUCCUUGGGUCCCUUUGGAGGAACUAUUUUUCCCAUAGUUUUCUCAAGAAAUGUCAGAGGCUCUGAUUCCGCAUCAAGAGCAAAAGAAAAUGUACAUAAUGCAUAAGCCGAUUUAUCCUCAUAUGCAGCUAACAAAUUGUUCAAACCUUCGAGACCAGUCUUGUCCAGAUACCACUUCACGUAUGGCCCUGGAAGACCCUUGAGGGC
RNAcentral lists this unclassified non-coding RNA (257 nucleotides) under Hevea brasiliensis (rubber tree). The record is from RNAcentral. Lineage: Eukaryota; Viridiplantae; Streptophyta; Magnoliopsida; Malpighiales; Euphorbiaceae.